GAAAUUGAAAGAAAAGAUGCUAGGGUACAACAGCUCUUUCAUAAUUUGCACCAUCCUUGUCCUCUUUCCUAACUUCUCUUCCUCGAAAUAGGAUGAAAACAAAAUACAGAAAAAUGAGUCUUAAUCAUUGUCCUUCGCUGACUUGUCAUCCUUGUUAGCAUCAACUCUCUUUCUUAUGCGAUUUUCAGGAUUUAUCUCAGUGGUAUUCUUGCUUGACAUGUACCUAGCCAUGUUGUGUUUCUUGAGGCUUGUGCUUUCAUGAUUAUUUCCAUUUUGGCAGUCCAACCAUACUCACCAGUGAGUUAGUGACCAAAUAGAAGGUUGUUCUUCCUUUGCUUCUCAUAUCAUUUUCAUUAAUUUUCAAACUUUCCUUGGUUGUAGAAACAAGCUUCUUGUCCUCAAACUCCUUAAGCUGACCAUGUAUGUGUGGCUGGUGGUGGCGGGGGAGGAGGAGGAAAAGGUGGUAGGUGUGGUGGUGGAGGAAGAGGACAAGGUGGAGGGGGAGCGGGGGGACAUGGUUAACCAUGUACAUGGUUUUUGAAGAUGGAAACGAAAGUGGUUUUUGAAGAUAAGGGUACAAUGUUUAU
Molecule: unclassified non-coding RNA, 587 nt
Filed under: Hevea brasiliensis (rubber tree)
Lineage: Eukaryota; Viridiplantae; Streptophyta; Magnoliopsida; Malpighiales; Euphorbiaceae
Source: RNAcentral